GUGACCUGGACUUUUGAAUGGUGUCUGAAGUUGGGGCAGCCUUGUGGGAUAGAACCUUUAAACUGGUGGAAUCUGAUGGUAAUCCCAGAAAUGGAUCAAAUGGUUGAACAGCCAGCUGGUGUCACAGAAUGGCUUGGCCUCAGGAAAGAUCUCAGAGGAAUAUGAACAAAACCUGCAGUGCACAGGUGGGAACCGGUGUCUGGACGGUGACAGAAAUAAUCUGCAGGGAAGAGGAUGUUAAUGUUAUACAUCUGUGUCCAACACCCUCCCCACCCAUGUGGCUGGUUGAUUCAUGCCCCAGGUUUCAAGUGCCAUCUCUUCUAAAGUCUUCAUCUAUUUCUAUAGCUAGAAGUAAUCCUACCUACUUUACAAAAUUAGAAGAUCAAAGAACAUGUGGGUCUGAUCCUCUAGCAUAGAUAAUCUGUGAAAGGAAACAGAUGAAAUAAAGAUUUUCUCAUCUCUGACACUUCUGGAAAGGGCCUUACCGUUGGGUUUUAUGUUACUGGAAGGAAAGAAUCCAGGAGCCCAGUUUUGUCGGGUGUUUUUCGAACAUCUGUGUGCGCGCUGAGGGCUUCAUGCUGCGGGGGAGUGGAGACUUGGUUUAAUUAUUCUUCAUUCUGAAAAGUGCUAAGAACUAAGCAGCUGGAAUUAGAGGAUAAUAACGGAUGAGGCUUAUGAAAGCUAAGAUGAAAACAAGCAAUCAUGCACAAGCGCUUUGCUGUACUGCAAGGGCAGGAGGUCGCAGAUGGGGAAACGGG
Molecule: long non-coding RNA, 758 nt
Filed under: Heterocephalus glaber (naked mole-rat)
Lineage: Eukaryota; Metazoa; Chordata; Mammalia; Rodentia; Bathyergidae
Description: lncRNA (ENSHGLG00000031235.2)
Source: RNAcentral